Molecule: ribosomal RNA, 419 nt
Filed under: uncultured eukaryote
Lineage: Eukaryota
Description: bacterial SSU rRNA
Rfam family: Eukaryotic small subunit ribosomal RNA
Source: RNAcentral
CAAUAGCGUAUAUUAAUGUUGUUGCAGUUAAAAAAGCUCGUAGUUGGAUUUCUGGUUGGACCGCGAUGCCGGACUCGCAAGGGUUCGUGAUUGUUGUGGUUUCCUUCCAUCCUCAGGUUUGCGCGUGCUGGCCUUAACUGGUCGGUGGGUGUGGUCCUGUCGUUUACUGUGAACAAAUUAGAGUGUUCAAAGCAAGGUGUACUUGAAUACAUUAGCAUGGAAUAAUAAGAUAGGACUUUGGUGGUUCUUUUUGUAUAUUUUGUUUGGUUUUGUCACGCCAAACGUAAAUAGAUUAAUAGGAGCAGUGGGGUAGUUCGUAUUCAAUUGUCAGAGGUGGAAAUUACUUGGUAUUUAUUAGAAGAACGAACUACUGCGAAAGACAUUGUCCAGGAUGUUUUCACUGAUCAAGAACGAAAGUU